Molecule: long non-coding RNA, 203 nt
Filed under: Musa acuminata (dwarf banana)
Lineage: Eukaryota; Viridiplantae; Streptophyta; Magnoliopsida; Zingiberales; Musaceae
Description: long non-coding RNA (MACU_LNC002640)
Source: RNAcentral
UCAUGUAGGAGUUUUUUCUUAGAGAAGAAUUAGGAGUUGUAAGGGAAUAGGAGUCUUGAGUAGGAGUCAUAUUAGGAGUUGGUUAGAAGUAAGAGUCUUAAGUAGGAGUCCUAUUAGGAGUUAGGGUUUAGAAGCCCUAUAAAUAGCCAUGUAUUCCUUCUCUUUUCUUAAGCAAUAGAUGAAUCUUUUCUACAGCCUUUGAG